UCGAGAAUCUUUCGCAAUGGGCGCAAGCCUGACGAAGCGACGCCGUGUGAGCGAAGAAGGCCUUCGGGUUGUAAAGCUCUUUCGCUAGGGAACAAGAGAGGAGUAUUAAUAACACUCCGAUUUGAGGGUACUUGGUAAAGAAGCACCGGCUAACUCCGUGCCAGCAGCUGCGGUAAUACGGAGGGUGCAAGCAUUGAUCGGAAUUACUGGGCGUAAAGGGCGCGUAGGCGGCAGGAUAAGUCAGGUGUGAAAUUCCACAGCUCAACUGUGGAACUGCAUUUGAAACUAUCCAGCUAGAGCGUAGUUAGGGAAAACGGAAUUCCACAUGUAGCGGUGAAAUGCGUAGAUAUGUGGAGGAACACCGGUGGUGAAGACGGUUUUCUGGGCUAUAGCUGACGCUGAGGCGCGAAAGCUAGGGGAGCAAACAGGAUUAGAUACCCCGGUAGUCC
Molecule: ribosomal RNA, 449 nt
Filed under: uncultured bacterium
Lineage: Bacteria
Description: bacterial SSU rRNA
Rfam family: Bacterial small subunit ribosomal RNA
Source: RNAcentral